This 553-nucleotide ribosomal RNA is filed under the name uncultured archaeon. RNAcentral's name for it is "bacterial SSU rRNA". It matches the Rfam family "Archaeal small subunit ribosomal RNA", at positions 326 to 879 of the family's 1478-position model. The record is from RNAcentral.
CGGGGUGCAGCAGGCGCGAAAACUUUACAAUGCCGGCAACGGCGAUAAGGGAACCUCGAGUGCCAGGUUACAAAUCUGGCUGUCGUGAUGCCUAAAAAGCAUUGCAUAGCAAGGGCCGGGCAAGACCGGUGCCAGCCGCCGCGGUAACACCGGCGGCUCGAGUGGUAACCGUUAUUAUUGGGUCUAAAGGGUCUGUAGCCGGCCGGAUAAGUCUCUUGGGAAAUCUGGCAGCUUAACUGUCAGGCUUUCAGGAGAUACUGUCUGGCUCGAGGCCGGGAGAGGUGAGAGGUACUUCAGGGGUAGGGGUGUAAUCUUGUAAUCCUUGAAGGACCACCAGUGGCGAAGGCGUCUCACCAGAACGGACCUGACGGCAAGGGACGAAAGCUAGGGGCACGAACCGGAUUAGAUACCCGGGUAGUCCUAGCCGUAAACGAUACUCGCUGGGUGUCGGCCACGGUGCGACCGUGGUCGGUGCCGUAGGGAAGCCGUGAAGCGAGCCACCUGGGAAGUACGGCCGCAAGGCUGAAACUUAAAGGAAUUGGCGGGGGAGCAC